ACGCACGCUGGCGGCGUGCUUAACACAUGCAAGUCGAACGCUGAAGCUUGGUGCUUGCACUGGGUGGAUGAGUGGCGAACGGGUGAGUAAUACGUGAGUAACCUGCCCUUGACUCUGGGAUAAGCCUGGGAAACUGGGUCUAAUACUGGAUACGACAUGUCACCGCAUGGUGGUGUGUGGAAAGGGUUUUACUGGUUUUGGAUGGGCUCACGGCCUAUCAGCUUGUUGGUGGGGUAAUGGCUCACCAAGGCGACGACGGGUAACCGGCCUGAGAGGGUGACCGGCCACACUGGGACUGAGACACGGCCCAGACUCCUACGGGAGGCAGCAGUGGGGAAUAUUGCACAAUGGGCGGAAGCCUGAUGCAGCGACGCCGCGUGAGGGAUGACGGCCUUCGGGUUGUAAACCUCUUUCAGCACGGAAGAAGCGAAAGUGACGGUACGUGCAGAAGAAGCGCCGGCUAACUACGUG
RNAcentral lists this ribosomal RNA (471 nucleotides) under uncultured bacterium. RNAcentral describes it as "partial 16S ribosomal RNA". It matches the Rfam family "Bacterial small subunit ribosomal RNA", at positions 29 to 507 of the family's 1533-position model. The record is from RNAcentral.